UACGAAGGGGGCUAGCGUUGUUCGGAAUUACUGGGCGUAAAGCGCACGUAGGCGGACAUUUAAGUCAGGGGUGAAAUCCCAGGGCUCAACCCUGGAACUGCCUUUGAUACUGGGUGUCUUGAGUACGAGAGAGGUGAGUGGAAUUCCGAGUGUAGAGGUGAAAUUCGUAGAUAUUCGGAAGAACACCAGUGGCGAAGGCGGCUCACUGGCUCGUAACUGACGCUGAGGUGCGAAAGCGUGGGGAG
This 245-nucleotide ribosomal RNA is filed under the name uncultured Pleomorphomonas sp. Its description in RNAcentral is "partial 16S ribosomal RNA". It matches the Rfam family "Bacterial small subunit ribosomal RNA", at positions 524 to 768 of the family's 1533-position model. The record is from RNAcentral. Lineage: Bacteria; Pseudomonadati; Pseudomonadota; Alphaproteobacteria; Hyphomicrobiales; Pleomorphomonadaceae.